RNAcentral lists this ribosomal RNA (422 nucleotides) under Alvinella pompejana symbiont apg115. Its description in RNAcentral is "bacterial SSU rRNA". It matches the Rfam family "Bacterial small subunit ribosomal RNA", at positions 26 to 450 of the family's 1533-position model. Lineage: Bacteria; Pseudomonadati; Campylobacterota. The record is from RNAcentral.
AGAGUGAACGCUGGCGGUGUGCUUAACACAUGCAAGUCGAACGGUAACAGGUCUUUCGGGAUGCUGACGAGUGGCGAACGGGUGAGUAAUGUAUAGCUAACAUGCCCUUUAGAGGGGAAUAGCCACUAGAAAUGGUGAUUAAUACCCCAUACUCCUUUUUCUCUCAAGAGUUGAAGGGAAACUUUUUGGCUAAGGGAUUGGGCUAUAUGGUAUCAGCUUGUUGGUGGGGUAACGGCUCACCAAGGCUAUGGCGCUUAGCUGGUCUGAGAGGAUGAUCAGCCACACUGGAACUGAGACACGGUCCAGACUCCUACGGGAGGCAGCAGUGGGGAAUAUUGGGCAAUGGGCGAAAGCCUGACCCAGCAACACCGCGUGGAGGAAGACACCCUUAGGGGCGUAAACUCCUUUUAUAGCCGAUGAUA